Molecule: long non-coding RNA, 4146 nt
Organism: Passer domesticus (house sparrow)
Lineage: Eukaryota; Metazoa; Chordata; Aves; Passeriformes; Passeridae
Exons: 5
Source: RefSeq, a predicted model, not a curated record
AGCCACUUGUAGAGUUGGUGGGUCUUUAAAAAUCUCUACCAUCUAAAUUCUGCUUUUGCAUUUAAAAUUAUAAAUCUCAAAGAAGGAUAAAUAAGUCAAAUUACAUUAAGCUUAUCUCUGCAUUUUCUCUUGGAUCAGGAGGGUAAUUCUGAAAUUAUAUUCCUUAUCUUCCUGAUUUAAUUUCUUUACCUGGAAGAAGGAUACAAGGGAGCAAAAUGGGGUUCCUUUUUGGCGAUUUAGUGUGGUCCAACCACUGUAAGCACUCAGGUCUUAGAAGCAGACUAGGGCUUGUCGCAGCGUCCUUUGGCAGCAAAUCCAGUCUUACCACGGUGCCUGUGACUGCAAGCCCAAGCAAAGAAUGACUUUGGAAUAUAACACAAGGAAAGGUAAAACACAGCAUAAUACAGGUCUACAGGAGAAGGACAAACUGGACCCUUGUAUGCAUAUAUUUUUUUUUUUCUCCUUAGAAUGUCUAAAAUAUUUUAAUAGUGUUUCCAACAAUAUUGUAAAUAUGUAUUUUAGUUCCCAUUUUACAGUCUUGACAGAUAAAAGAAAGCUGACAAUGGUGUCGUUCUGUCAAUUUUAUUUUUUCAAUGUGAUCAAAAUGUGACUUCAUAGUAGUGACUUGAAGUUGCCAUAUUUCAAAUGCCUUGAGUAAGAGAAGUGCUUUCAUGUGUACAUUAUGUAUGCGAGAAAGAGAGAGGGAGAAAGGGAGAGAGGCAAAGACUGACAUUCAGCCAAGGUUUAACACUCAAAGUUUUCAUCAGAGUCAAAUAGAGAUUUAGAUUUAUCUGAAGACACACUGUAGUUGUUCCCAAGAGAUGGCUAUGUAAAGAGAUACAUCCUUUGGCAUCUAGUAAGCUGAAGGAAUUCAAUAUGUGUGUCAUUCCCUUAAAGAGUUGAAAUAUUUUUGAAGGAGGCAAAUAUAGUCCAGUCCAAGCACAUUUGUUCACAGUGUAUGAUGAUGCCCAAGCCAGAAAAAAAAAAAAAAAUAAUAUGGUCCCAUUUGUUCCUCAACUGCCAGUUUACUGACUCAAAGGUCAGGGGUGGAUUUCAUUCAGAAGGGCACUCACCAUUAGUACUAAUCACACUGUUAAUAGAAGAAAUGCCCUUUCAAAAUUAGGCAUGUUUGUUACUAUGUUCAUAGUAUUAAAGUCUCCAUCUGAUGGUGAAAUAUCUUUGCUAUGUCUUUGAAUUAUAUACGUACAUGGGUAUACGACUUGUGAUCUGAACAGGAAUAAAUAAGGACUUAAACUCUGCAAAUAUUACACAGGGGAUUGAGGAGGCCCUUUCUUUCUGGGAUUGAAUCAUUAUCAUGUUACUCCCUUUAUGUGCCCAAGCAGCACCAUUGAAAUUUAGUGGAAUGAAACAUGAGAAGAGCACUAGUUGAUCUCCAGAUAAAUAUUCAUUAUAAUGUUAGUGAAGUUGCAGCCAGUAUUUCACAGAGGAUGAAAUUUAACAAGAGAAAUGAGCAUGUCCUUUCAAGGCCCCUGAAAACUGACUGCUAGUGUUAGCAGCAGUUAUUACACUUUUAUUUUAUUCUUGAAACCAUGUUAUUUUUUCCUAUAGUUCUUGAAGGCAAUGGCUGUCUAGGUAAAAAAUGUAGAGCAACAUUCCAGCAGAUUUAAGUGUGACUAUUUCUUUUCCUAGUGAACUCUUUUUCUAUUCCUUUAACACUAAUAAAGGCACACCUUUUAUAUUCAUGGAAAUAUGACCAAGGACACAAUUUUGCAAUAUUUUUGGAAAGUUAUUUGUUUCAAGCAAUUUCAUACCAUAUACAGCAAGUUCUAGAAACCUGGACUCCUUAGGGCCAUUUUCUUGCCAACAGUAAGGUGAUCCCUGCCCCCUUCCCUGCCUCCAACACACUAAUUUUUUUAAGAGAGCUUUAGAAUGGCAACAGAAGGAUAGAGGGACCCUUAGGCUACUUCAGUCAAAAUAGUGAAUUUGUAAGGAAUUCUCAUUCUGUUUCAAGAAAGAAAAUUAUUGAUAAUCCUUUACUACCAGAUAUGCUGGCCUUAAAACAGACAAGAAAAGAUAUGGAAAAUAUAUUCAAAGCAAGAAAGGCAUCUGGCUUGGAUAAAAAGUGAAAAUUCCCUGAUGAAAUAGGUUUUAGGGAGGAAUUUGAAGUAUGUGAACUUGGCAGCCAAAAGGUUUUUUGGGGAGAAGGGUAGGCCAUGUGGGACACAAAAGAUAAAGUGCAGAAAAGACAAGUGCAAGAAAAGGAAGAGAAAAGGAAGGGAGCAGUAAAAGAAGCAUAAGGAGUCCAGUGAGGAAUGAAAGCAAAGGAUCACCCUGAGAUUCUGAAAGAUCUCACUGUAAGAUCUCAUUCUAAUUUUGAAAUAUUUGACAUUAACUUUAAUAAAUGAAGUGUUCUUCACCUCUAUCACAAUGCUUCCUGUCAGACUAUUUUUGAACCACCCAACCCCUCUGCUCUCCCUCUUUUCAUGCAAGCCAUGAUACAGUUCUCUUGAUGUUAGUGUUGUUUUCCACAUAUUUCCCCACUGAAAAUUGACAUUUAGAUAAGUCUUUAUUAUGGAAAGUCCACUACAAAAUAAAGCAGUAAAAAGAGGUCUCUGAAAAUUUGGAAAUAAUAGUUCCCUGUCAACUUAGUAGGAGGUCUGAAGAACUGAAUUAUAACUUCUGUUAUGCUGAGAGAGAAACAGUGGCUUGAUGAAUAUAGCACUCUGCAAGCAAAAGUAGAAAAUCUGGAAGCACAACAUAAACCAAGUCAGUCAGUUUAAUGUUGCAUGAAAAAUAGGGCAGGAUAAUGACCCAAUAAAUAGAACUAUGUAUUAGGUGUUUUGACUGUUGAAAAUCCAACUUGUGGGGCAAUCCUCAAAGAGCAGCAACAGAGAUAUUACCUACACAGUGUGUGAGUUGGUCCUGGAGGGAACAGGCUAGAGAAUACCCACACAGCCAUGCCACAGACAAAAACCACUGGGCCACAAGAAAUAAGAAGCCACAAUUUAUGAUAUCCAGGCAGCUUAUGGUGAGGAGCAAAGGACUUUCAAAGGGCUCUGGGACCAAUUGGGAUUGGCCAUGCAGAACAACAACCCGUGAUUGGCCAGAAGGCUUCUAGAACAUUCUAUGAGAGACUAUAUAUAUGUGUGUCAGCCACAAUUUGGGGUCUCUUGAAGCAGCCCCUUUAAGUUUUGUUUUACACCCUUGUUUGUGCCCUUUUAUUUAUUUAAUACAAUAAAUAGCAUGUCAGAGAGAUCACUGGCAGUUGGACAUAGGCUGCAACAACACAGUGCUGUAAACUGGCCAUGCAAGAGGAAGAGACCAUAGCCGCUUUUACACAUCACUAGCAGGCAAAGCAGAGAGAUUUGGCAGAAGAAUUAACCAAAACACCAUAAAGUUGUCUCGACAGAAGCUGAAUAGAAUAGCCAACUCUCACAAGCAAAAUUAUUAGUAUUAAGAAUUUUUUUAAAGGGAGAAAGCUAGAACAGAUAGCAGCAAUGAGAUGAACUCAGCAAGCAAACAGAAGAAGACAAGUGAACUCAAUGAUCUUAGAGGACAUACCCAGAGCUCUCAAUAUCCAAGUAAGCAUUUUAAGAACACUGAAAAGAAGUCUGAAAAUCACCAAGAUAACAAUUGCAAAACUGAUGAACAAUAGGCAGCUAAAUAUAGCACACAGGGCAUAAAGGAGCAGCAGCUGCAGGUGGCAAGCCUCUCAAGCAAGCAGAUACAGAUCCCACUUCUGCUGUGUCAGAUUGGGUCAUGGGACAUAGCUGGACUAUCUUGCCACCAGGGAAGUGGAACUAACUGCCACCACAACAAUACUGCCCAGAAAAGAGAAAGUCACUCCCCUCUUCUCAUCAGUAUCUCUCUGCUCUUCAAUGAUCCUGCUGCAAACUUUCCAUGGAAGUAAUACCAAAAGCCUGGUUCACAGGGAAUACAAAGUCAAGAUGCUAAAAACUUGGAAUGUAGAGGUGAAAAAUCCCCACUAGAACAGUUCUUGGAUCCCUGCCACUGAGAAGCCCAGGGUGAAGAGGAACCAGUGGUGUGCCCCUGGAUCCAUGCAUGCUGACUAUCCUCAGCUUGAUCUCUCUAUAUUUCUCUCUACCCAUCUCCACCCCCAUGACCCCUCUUCUAUAAAUUUUUAUGUUUCUACCUCACUUUUAGAGUUAAAUAAAAUCCAUAUUC